GGAGAUAUAGCUCCGUGGUAGAGCACUUGCCUAGCAUGUGGGAAGCUAUAGGUUCAAUCCCUUGUACCACCA
This 72-nucleotide transfer RNA is filed under the name Fukomys damarensis (Damara mole-rat). It matches the Rfam family "tRNA". From Rfam's summary of the family: Transfer RNA (tRNA) molecules are approximately 80 nucleotides in length. Their secondary structure includes four short double-helical elements and three loops (D, anti-codon, and T loops). The record is from Rfam by way of RNAcentral. Lineage: Eukaryota; Metazoa; Chordata; Mammalia; Rodentia; Bathyergidae.